Long non-coding RNA from Micropterus salmoides (largemouth bass), 1027 nucleotides. RefSeq lists it as uncharacterized. Lineage: Eukaryota; Metazoa; Chordata; Actinopteri; Centrarchiformes; Centrarchidae. The transcript is spliced from 2 exons. The record is from RefSeq and is a predicted model, not a curated record.
UUCCUGUCAGGUGAGCUGUGACCCCCCCCCCUUCCUUGUCUGUCUGCGCACCUGCAUGUACCGUGGGCAGCCGCGGCCUUUCAGAGAGGUGCUGUGCCCAGAGACUUUGCUGCACUAGGAGUAACCCAUGGCUUCUGGCCCUCCAUCACCCUCAGUAGGCCACAGGCUCAGGCUGCUGGAGUUGCUACUUGGGCUUCCUCUAUUUAUCUUGCUGGUUUCUGGGCUGGGACCAGUACUGGGUCAGAAGGUGUACACCAACACAUGGGCUGUCCACAUACCUGGAGGUUUGGAGGAAGCUGAUCGGAUUGCCAGCAAACACGGAUUCAUCAACUACGGACAUGUGUUGGAAUUAGACAGGAGAGCUUGAGGGGAGGAUCAAAGACUGCAGCUGGCCAGGUUUUACAGCUCUGAUGAUUUUUGUUUUUUGUUUUGCCUUCGUUCCUACUCCUCAAACUACGGCAUCCAUACACCCUGUCUCCGAAACAUGUCAGAGCUGUUCCUCUGGUUGUGACACAUGGAGCAGUUUGUCACAAAGGUGUCAUGAAGGUUUUUUGUGAACACAGUAAUUAAGAAGACAAUUUAGAACCGAGCUGCGUUGCACCUCACGUUGCACCUGUCGAGUGGAUCAAUAUUUUUUUUUUUAUGUGAUUUUUGCUUAGUGAUGACAUAAUACUGAUUUUCUCAAAUGUAAAAUAACUGCUUAAAAUUGUUUAAACCACAUAAUUAUUUCUGCUGCUGCGGUGUAAUGUGUGUGUAUCUGCUUGUCAAAAUUAGGGCUGCAGCUAGUUUUUGUUAUCUGUAUGUCCUCGAUUCAUUGUUAGUUUUAUGAAAUGUCAGAAAAUGGUGAUAUAUGCCUGUCACAUUUCUGAAUUAAUUUGUUUAAAUACAUGCUAAGUUAAUUAAUUAAAGUCAUUACUUUAACAAAUUAUUCUUUUAUAUUUUAAGGGGAGUUUGAUGGGAAGCGCCCCUUUUUGUUGGUUUCAAAUGUUACUUUGUUUACUAAAUAAAGAUAACUUGUUGAGUCUGA